Macaca mulatta (Rhesus monkey) is the source of this 554-nucleotide non-coding RNA. The record is from RefSeq and is a predicted model, not a curated record. NCBI's taxonomy places the organism in Eukaryota, Metazoa, Chordata, Mammalia, Primates, Cercopithecidae.
AAAAUACACUCAAUUUCCCACAGGUUCCUGAUGAGACUGAGAGAAACCUGGUGAAGUGUCAGUAAGAGAACACAAAUGUCUGCCUCUGCCUCUGCUUCGUGUCAGGGUUCAUGAAAUCUGCACCAUGUGGAACCCGGGGGCCAUCACCAUCUUCAUAAAGAGAGCCAGUGACAAGUUCUGCCCUGGGACCUAAGAAUGACCCAAGAAGCCAGGAUUACCCAGAACCCCAGAUCUGCUGACACCUCCAUGUCCUCCACCAAGGCUGGAGAGAAGCAGAACUCUAACCUGAGACAGGAAGUGUUCCUCGGGUGCAUAAUAGAGAAAGGGAAGUAUGACCACCCUGCAAAGAAGGAAUCACAGAGAAACGUCCUCGAGUGCUUACAGCAGCAAGGUGAGGAGAGAAUUCGGUCACUAAGAGACAACUGACUUCAAAAGGUAAAUGCAGAAGCUUUCUCUUUGAGAAUAGAAACAAGGUGAGCUAUUCUCAACAAUUCCAUUCAACCUUUUAUGGGAAAUCAGGCCAGUGUAAUAUGGAAAAAAGAAAAAAAAAUCAG